GCGGUCUGAGCCUAAACGGCAAGUAGCUCUUCGGAGAUACUUUAGGUUCAAAGACAUGCAAUGUUGUGUUUGCACGUUGUCCGGUUUUACCGGGCAGGUGACGAAAGUCACCAUGUUUCACUUCCUGUACAAUUUUGACCCUGUCUGUCAAUAGUGAAUUCUUUCCGCACUGCCUUUUGGCGGUGCUUUUUUUU
This 194-nucleotide non-coding RNA is filed under the name Plesiomonas shigelloides 302-73. RNAcentral describes it as "GcvB RNA". It matches the Rfam family "GcvB RNA". From Rfam's summary of the family: The gcvB gene encodes a small untranslated RNA involved in expression of the dipeptide and oligopeptide transport systems in Escherichia coli. Included several unknown homologues in alignment (Bateman A pers obs). Lineage: Bacteria; Pseudomonadati; Pseudomonadota; Gammaproteobacteria; Enterobacterales; Enterobacteriaceae. The record is from Rfam by way of RNAcentral.